ACUCCUACGGGAGGCAGCAGUGGGGAAUAUUGCACAAUGGGCGCAAGCCUGAUGCAGCCAUGCCGCGUGUGUGAAGAAGGCCUUCGGGUUGUAAAGCACUUUCAGUUGUGAGGAAAGGUUAGUCGCUAAUAUCGGCUAGCUGUGACGUUAGCAACAGAAGAAGCACCGGCUAACUCCGUGCCAGCAGCCGCGGUAAUACGGAGGGUGCGAGCGUUAUCCGGAUUUAUUGGGUUUAAAGGGUCCGUAGGCGGGUUAAUAAGUCAGUGGUGAAAUCCCAUCGCUUAACGAUGGAACUGCCAUUGAUACUGUUAGUCUUGAAUGAGGGUGCAGUGGUUGGAAUGUGUAGUGUAGCGGUGAAAUGCAUAGAUAUUACACAGAACACCGAUUGCGAAGGCAGAUCACUAACCCUAAAUUGACGCUGAGGGACGAAAGCGUGGGGAGCGAACAGGAUUAGAUACCCUGUAGGCUCUG
RNAcentral lists this ribosomal RNA (471 nucleotides) under uncultured bacterium. RNAcentral's name for it is "bacterial SSU rRNA". It matches the Rfam family "Bacterial small subunit ribosomal RNA", at positions 335 to 798 of the family's 1533-position model. The record is from RNAcentral.